GACAGAGGGUGCGAACGUUGUUCGGAAUUACUGGGCGUAAAGCGCGUGUAGGCGGCAGCGCAAGUCGGGCGUGAAAUCCCACGGCUCAACCGUGGAAGUGCACUCGAAACUGCGCAGCUAGAGUCCUGGAGAGGAAGGUGGAAUGCUUGGUGUAGAGGUGAAAUUCGUAGAUAUCAAGCGGAACACCGGUGGCGAAGGCGGCCUUCUGGACAGUGACUGACACUGAUGAGCGAAAGCCAGGGGAGCAAACGGG
RNAcentral lists this ribosomal RNA (253 nucleotides) under uncultured bacterium. RNAcentral describes it as "partial 16S ribosomal RNA". It matches the Rfam family "Bacterial small subunit ribosomal RNA", at positions 524 to 776 of the family's 1533-position model. The record is from RNAcentral.